UCCUGAUGCCUCGUUCCAGGUGGUGUU
This 27-nucleotide non-coding RNA is filed under the name Homo sapiens (human). Lineage: Eukaryota; Metazoa; Chordata; Mammalia; Primates; Hominidae. The record is from RNAcentral.